RNAcentral lists this transfer RNA (72 nucleotides) under Marmota monax (woodchuck). RNAcentral describes it as "tRNA.Leu". Lineage: Eukaryota; Metazoa; Chordata; Mammalia; Rodentia; Sciuridae. The record is from RNAcentral.
GCUAGGUGUAGCUCAGUGGCAGAGCAUUUGCCAAACAUGAGUGAGGCCCUGGGCUCGAUCCCCAGUACUGCA